UCUGCCCUGCUCCCCAGCGCCCCCGGGCUGGUUGCGCGUCGUCAGACCGCGGGAGUGGGGCGAGGGGGCGUCCGGGGAAAAGUGGGGAGCCCUGGCGAGCCCCUCCCGCGCCCGGGCCGCGGCGCUGAAUCACCGGCCAGGUUUCUGCAAAUGCGUGAAUGAGCCGGAUGCCAGCCUCUGUCCCCUGGAGCCCAGCGUGAGGAAGAGGCAUGCCCCAUCAGGCUUCAGCUUGAGCCCGGCGGCCCCCGCCCCCGCCCCCUGUCACCCUGCACUGCCCCGGCUCCCCCGCGGCCCCCACGCUGCAGUGCGGCCGGGCCCCCUCCCCGCAGGGGCCGCCCCGCCGCCCACCCCUAGCGCCCGUGGUGGUGGUGGUGGU
Molecule: small RNA, 376 nt
Filed under: Pongo abelii (Sumatran orangutan)
Lineage: Eukaryota; Metazoa; Chordata; Mammalia; Primates; Hominidae
Description: processed transcript
Source: RNAcentral